GGAGUCUGGGCCGUAUCUCAGUCCCAAUGUGGCCGAUCACCCUCUCAGGCCGGCUACCGAUCGUCGCCUUGGUGGGCCGUUGCCCCGCCAACUAGCUAAUCGGACGCAAGCUCAUCCCCUGUCGAUGAAUCUUUUGUCAACUCCCCAGGCGGGGAGCCACGAUAUCCGGUAUUACCCGCGCGUUGGCACGGCUAUUCCCGAACAGGGGGCAGAUUGCUUACGCGUUACUCACCCGUUCGCCGCUAUGCAUUGCUGCACCGCUCGACUUGCAUGUGUUAGGCACGCCGCCAGCGUUCGUC
Molecule: ribosomal RNA, 299 nt
Filed under: Fibrobacter succinogenes
Lineage: Bacteria; Pseudomonadati; Fibrobacterota; Fibrobacteria; Fibrobacterales; Fibrobacteraceae
Description: partial 16S ribosomal RNA
Source: RNAcentral